CGCAUCUGUGCAUGCAGCAUAUCAAUAAGCGGAGGAAAAGAAACUAACAAGGAUUCCCUCAGUAACGGCGAGUGAAGCGGGAAGAGCUCAAAUUUGAAAUCUUGAAAGGGUUCACCUUUCACGAAUUGUAGUUUAAAGAAGUGUUUUCUGUUACGAGUCUGGUAAUAUAAGUUCUUUGGAAUAGGACAUCACUAGAGGGUGAGAAUCCCGUCUAUGAUUGCUAUUUGUAACUUUGUGAUACACUUUCAAAGAGUCGGGAUUGUUUGGGAAUGCAGCCCAAAACUGGGAGGUAAAUUUCAUUCUAAAGGCUAAAUAUUGGCGAGAGACCGAUAGCGAACAAGUACCGUGAGGGAAAGAUGAAAAGAACUUUGAAAAGAGAGUUAAAUAGUACGUGGAAUUGUCAAAAGGGAAGCGUUUGACACCAGUGUUGUUUUCUGAAAAUCAAUUAAAGAACUGUUUAUGCUAAGCUGUUUAGACUUUAUCAGCUAUCCGUUUAGUUUUGAGCUUUUCUUUAAUGCACUUUUCAGUUAACAAGUCAACAUCAAUUUCUUUUGCUGUAAAAAAGCUUGAGGAAGGUGGCUUGAGAUUCGUCUUAAGUGUUUAUAGCCUCUUGCCUAUGCAGUCGGAGAGAUUGAGGUCUGCAGCGUAGAUCCUUCGGGGCUAAAUGCAUUUGUGCUAAGUUAUAGCAUUUUAUAGACAACUUGUUGACUAUGAUUUGUCUUGUAGCUUACUCGCUUAUGUUAUUUUACCUACGCUUAGGAUGUUGACGAUCAGCUGAGCGC
RNAcentral lists this ribosomal RNA (782 nucleotides) under uncultured Neocallimastigales. RNAcentral's name for it is "partial large subunit ribosomal RNA". It matches the Rfam family "Eukaryotic large subunit ribosomal RNA", at positions 26 to 647 of the family's 3401-position model. The record is from RNAcentral. Lineage: Eukaryota; Fungi; Neocallimastigomycota; Neocallimastigomycetes; Neocallimastigales.